This 457-nucleotide ribosomal RNA is filed under the name uncultured bacterium. Its description in RNAcentral is "bacterial SSU rRNA". It matches the Rfam family "Bacterial small subunit ribosomal RNA", at positions 340 to 786 of the family's 1533-position model. The record is from RNAcentral.
UACGGAAGGCAGCAGCAGGGGGAAUAUUGCACAAUGGGCGAAAGCCUGAUGCAGCUAUGCCGCGUGUAUGAAGAAGGCCUUAGGGUUGUAAAGUACUUUCAUCGGGGAGGAAAAAACAAAACUAAUAAUUUUAUUUCUUGACGUUACCCGAAAAAGAAGCACCGGCUAACUCCGUGCCAGCAGCCGCGGUAAUACGGAGGGUGCUAGCGUUAAUCAGAAUUACUGGGCGUAAAGAGCACGUAGGUGGUUUUUUAAGUCAGAUGUGAAAUCCCUGGGCUUAACCUAGGAACUGCAUUUUGAAACUGAAAUACUAGAGUAUCGUAGAGGGAGGUAGAAUUCUAGGUGUAGCGGUGAAAUGCGUAGAUAUCUGGAGGAAUACCUGUGGCGAAAGCGGCCUCCUAAACGAAUACUGACACUGAGGUGCGAAAGCGUGGGGAGCAAACAGGGAUUAGAUACC